AUGACCCCCGCCGCUGCAUUAGAUUUACAUUCUUGGUGCAUUCUUCAAUCAUCUGUAGUGCACCUCCUUGAGUUGAUUUUGAAGAAGUUUCACACAUCCGUAUGUACUUUGCAUGUUAAAUCUUUCUUUGGCUUCUUCUGUGAUGGAUGGAAGAUAAUGGAUGUUAUCUCAGGCAGCUCUCCUGUGUCUAGUUUGUAUAAGUUUUUAGUUAUUUUAACAUCUAAAUUUAUGCUGUGUGUUCCACACUUAAUUUCUAGACUGUCUAAUUGUUGGACAUGUAUUUUGUUUUUGAAAGAAAACUGUAGGCGGAGUCCCAACAGUAUAGAUGGGAACCCAAAUUCGCAUCCAUGA
Molecule: ribosomal RNA, 351 nt
Filed under: Triticum aestivum (bread wheat)
Lineage: Eukaryota; Viridiplantae; Streptophyta; Magnoliopsida; Poales; Poaceae
Description: partial small subunit ribosomal RNA
Source: RNAcentral